GGUCAAGUGAAGAAGCGCAUACGGUGGAUGCCUUGGCAGUCAGAGGCGAUGAAAGACGUGGUAGCCUGCGAAAAGCUUCGGGGAGUCGGCAAACAGACUUUGAUCCGGAGAUGUCUGAAUGGGGGAACCCAGCCAUCAUAAGAUGGUUAUCUUGUACUGAAUACAUAGGUGCAAGAGGCGAACCAGGGGAACUGAAACAUCUAAGUACCCUGAGGAAAAGAAAUCAACCGAGAUUCCCUUAGUAGUGGCGAGCGAACGGGGACUAGCCCUUAAGUGGCUUUGAGAUUAGCGGAACGCUCUGGAAAGUGCGGCCAUAGUGGGUGAUAGCCCUGUACGCGAAAAUCUCUUAGUCAUGAAAUCGAGUAGGACGGAGCACGAGAAACUUUGUCUGAAUAUGGGGGGACCAUCCUCCAAGGCUAAAUACUACUGACUGACCGAUAGUGAACUAGUACCGUGAGGGAAAGGCGAAAAGAACCCCGGAGAGGGGAGUGAAAUAGAUCCUGAAACCGUAUGCGUACAAGCAGUGGGAGCCCACUUUGUUGGGUGACUGCGUACCUUUUGUAUAAUGGGUCAGCGACUUAUUUUCAGUGGCGAGCUUAACCGAAUAGGGGAGGCGUAGCGAAAGCGAGUCUUAAUAGGGCGUCUAGUCGCUGGGAAUAGACCCGAAACCGGGCGAUCUAUCCAUGGGCAGGUUGAAGGUUGGGUAACACUAACUGGAGGACCGAACCGACUACCGUUGAAAAGUUAGCGGAUGACCUGUGGAUCGGAGUGAAAGGCUAAUCAAGCUCGGAGAUAGCUGGUUCUCCUCGAAAGCUAUUUAGGUAGCGCCUCAUGUAUCACUGUAGGGGGUAGAGCACUGUUUCGGCUAGGGGGUCAUCCCGACUUACCAAACCGAUGCAAACUCCGAAUACCUACAAGUGCCGAGCAUGGGAGACACACGGCGGGUGCUAACGUCCGUCGUGAAAAGGGAAACAACCCAGACCGUCAGCUAAGGUCCCAAAGUUAUGGUUAAGUGGGAAACGAUGUGGGAAGGCUUAGACAGCUAGGAGGUUGGCUUAGAAGCAGCCACCCUUUAAAGAAAGCGUAAUAGCUCACUAGUCGAGUCGGCCUGCGCGGAAGAUGUAACGGGGCUCAAACCAUACACCGAAGCUACGGGUAUCACGUAAGUGAUGCGGUAGAGGAGCGUUCUGUAAGCCUGUGAAGGUGAGUUGAGAAGCUUGCUGGAGGUAUCAGAAGUGCGAAUGCUGACAUGAGUAACGACAAUGGGUGUGAAAAACACCCACGCCGAAAGACCAAGGUUUCCUGCGCAACGUUAAUCGACGCAGGGUUAGUCGGUCCCUAAGGCGAGGCUGAAAAGCGUAGUCGAUGGAAAACAGGUUAAUAUUCCUGUACUUCUGGUUAUUGCGAUGGAGGGACGGAGAAGGCUAGGCCAGCUUGGCGUUGGUUGUCCAAGUUUAAGGUGGUAGGCUGAGAUCUUAGGUAAAUCCGGGAUCUUAAGGCCGAGAGCUGAUGACGAGUCAUCUUUUAGAUGACGAAGUGGUUGAUGCCAUGCUUCCAAGAAAAGCUUCUAAGCUUCAGGUAACCAGGAACCGUACCCCAAACCGACACAGGUGGUUGGGUAGAGAAUACCAAGGCGCUUGAGAGAACUCGGGUGAAGGAACUAGGCAAAAUGGCACCGUAACUUCGGGAGAAGGUGCGCCGGUGAGGGUGAAGGACUUGCUCCGUAAGCUCAUGCCGGUCGAAGAUACCAGGCCGCUGCGACUGUUUAUUAAAAACACAGCACUCUGCAAACACGAAAGUGGACGUAUAGGGUGUGACGCCUGCCCGGUGCCGGAAGGUUAAUUGAUGGGGUUAGCUAACGCGAAGCUCUUGAUCGAAGCCCCGGUAAACGGCGGCCGUAACUAUAACGGUCCUAAGGUAGCGAAAUUCCUUGUCGGGUAAGUUCCGACCUGCACGAAUGGCGUAACGAUGGCGGCGCUGUCUCCACCCGAGACUCAGUGAAAUUGAAAUCGCUGUGAAGAUGCAGUGUAUCCGCGGCUAGACGGAAAGACCCCGUGAACCUUUACUAUAGCUUUGCACUGGACUUUGAAUUUGCUUGUGUAGGAUAGGUGGGAGGCUUUGAAGCGUGGACGCCAGUCUGCGUGGAGCCAUCCUUGAAAUACCACCCUGGCAACUUUGAGGUUCUAACUCAGGUCCGUUAUCCGGAUCGAGGACAGUGUAUGGUGGGUAGUUUGACUGGGGCGGUCUCCUCCUAAAGAGUAACGGAGGAGUACGAAGGUGCGCUCAGACCGGUCGGAAAUCGGUCGUAGAGUAUAAAGGCAAAAGCGCGCUUGACUGCGAGACAGACACGUCGAGCAGGUACGAAAGUAGGUCUUAGUGAUCCGGUGGUUCUGUAUGGAAGGGCCAUCGCUCAACGGAUAAAAGGUACUCCGGGGAUAACAGGCUGAUACCGCCCAAGAGUUCAUAUCGACGGCGGUGUUUGGCACCUCGAUGUCGGCUCAUCACAUCCUGGGGCUGAAGCCGGUCCCAAGGGUAUGGCUGUUCGCCAUUUAAAGUGGUACGCGAGCUGGGUUUAGAACGUCGUGAGACAGUUCGGUCCCUAUCUGCCGUGGACGUUUGAGAUUUGAGAGGGGCUGCUCCUAGUACGAGAGGACCGGAGUGGACGAACCUCUGGUGUUCCGGUUGUCACGCCAGUGGCAUUGCCGGGUAGCUAUGUUUGGAAUAGAUAACCGCUGAAAGCAUCUAAGCGGGAAACUAGCCUCAAGAUGAGAUCUCACUGGAACCUUGAGUUCCCUGAAGGGCCGUCGAAGACUACGACGUUGAUAGGUUGGGUGUGUAAGCGCUGUGAGGCGUUGAGCUAACCAAUACUAAUUGCCCGUGAGGCUUGACCAU
RNAcentral lists this ribosomal RNA (2892 nucleotides) under Pseudomonas quebecensis. Its description in RNAcentral is "23S ribosomal RNA". It matches the Rfam family "Bacterial large subunit ribosomal RNA". Lineage: Bacteria; Pseudomonadati; Pseudomonadota; Gammaproteobacteria; Pseudomonadales; Pseudomonadaceae. The record is from RNAcentral.